UGAGGAAUAUUGGUCAAUGGGCGGGAGCCUGAACCAGCCAAGCCGCGUGAAGGAAGAAGGCGCUAAGCGUCGUAAACAUCUUUUGUCGGGGAACAAAGGUCCGGACGUGUCCGGAUGAGAGUGUACCCGAAGAAAAAGCAUCGGCUAACUCCGUGCCAGCAGCCGCGGUAAUACGGAGGAUGCGAGCGUUAUCCGGAUUUAUUGGGUUUAAAGGGUGCGUAGGCGGUCUGUUAAGUCAGCGGUAAAAGCCCGGGCUCAACCCGGCGAGCCGUUGAAACUGGCGGACUAGAGAGGGCGAGAAGUACGCGGAAUGCGCAGUGUAGCGGUGAAAUGCAUAGAUAUUGCGCAGAACUCCGAUUGCGAAGGCAGUGUACCGGCGCCUUUCUGACGCUGAGGCACGAAAGCGUGGGUAUCGAACAGGAUUAGAUACC
Molecule: ribosomal RNA, 431 nt
Filed under: uncultured bacterium
Lineage: Bacteria
Description: bacterial SSU rRNA
Rfam family: Bacterial small subunit ribosomal RNA
Source: RNAcentral